AUUGAACGCUGGCGGAAUGCUUUACACAUGCCAGUCGAGCGGCAGCGCGGCCUUCGGGCUGGCGGCGAGCGGCGAACGGGUGAGUAAUGCAUCGGAACAUGCCCAGUCGUGGGGGAUAACACUUCGAAAGAAGUGCUAAUACCGCAUACGUCCUGAGGGGGAAAGCGGGGGAUCGCAAGACCUCGCGCGAUUGGAGUGGCCGAUGUCAGAUUAGCUAGUUGGUGGGGUAAAGGCCUACCAAGGCGACGAUCUGUAGCUGGUCUGAGAGGAUGAUCAGCCACACUGGGACUGAGACACGGCCCAGACUCCUACGGGAGGCAGCAGUGGGGAAUUUUGGACCAUGGGGGCAACCCUGAUCCAGCCAUUCCGCGUGAGUGAAGAAGGCCUUCGGGUUGUAAAGCUCUUUCGGCAGGAACGAAACGGUGGGCUCUAACAUAGUCCGCUAAUGACGGUACCUGAAGAAGAAGCACCGGCUAACUACGUG
This 484-nucleotide ribosomal RNA is filed under the name uncultured bacterium. RNAcentral's name for it is "partial 16S ribosomal RNA". It matches the Rfam family "Bacterial small subunit ribosomal RNA", at positions 30 to 507 of the family's 1533-position model. The record is from RNAcentral.